AGAGUUUGAUCCUGGCUCAGAAUGAACGUUGGCGGCGUGGAUUAGCAUGCAAGUCGUACGGGCCCGGCUUCGGCCGGGUCAGUGGCGCAAGGGUGAGUAAGGCGACGGUAACCAACCCCACGGAAUUGGGUAUAGCCGCGCGAAAGUGCGGGUAAUCCCCAGCGAUGUCACGGGGGGGCAUCUCCCUGUGACCAAAGGUCCGCCGUCGUGGGACGGGCCGUCGUGGUAUUAGGUAGUUGGCGGGGUAACGGCCCACCAAGCCGACGAUGCCUACCGGGCGUGCGAGCGUGGCCCGGCACACUGGGACUGAGACACUGCCCAGACUCCUACGGGAGGCUGCAGUCGAGAAUCUUCGGCAAUGGGCGCAAGCCUGACCGAGCGACGCCGCGUGGAGGACGAAGGCCUUCGGGUUGUAAACUCCUGUCGAGGGGGAAGAAGGCCGGGCAACCGGCUUGACUGAUCCCUGGAGGAAGCACGGGCUAAGUUCGUGCCAGCAGCCGCGGUAAGACGAACCGUGCGAACGUUAUUCGGAAUCACUGGGCUUAAAGCGCGUGUAGGCGGGACGGCACGUCGGAUGCUGAAAGCCCCCGGCUCAACCGGGGAACGGGCACCGAUACGACCGUCCUGGAGGGACGUAGGGGGACCUGGAACUUCCGGUGGAGCGGUGAAAUGCGUUGAGAUCGGAAGGAACGCCCGUGGCGAAAGCGAGGUCCUGGACGUUUUCUGACGCUGAGACGCGAAAGCCAGGGGAGCGAACGGGAUUAGAUACCCCCGUAGUCC
RNAcentral lists this ribosomal RNA (780 nucleotides) under uncultured bacterium. RNAcentral's name for it is "bacterial SSU rRNA". It matches the Rfam family "Bacterial small subunit ribosomal RNA", at positions 8 to 796 of the family's 1533-position model. The record is from RNAcentral.